GGGGCAGCAUGAGGCCGGGCGGCUUUUUGGGCGCCGGACAGCGGCUGAGUAGAGCCAUGAGCCGAUGUGUUUUGGAGCCUCGCCCCCCGGGGAAGCGGUGGAUGGUGAGUGGCGUGGGGCGGCGACGUAGGGGCUCCCGGUCCCUAGCUUCAGUUCGGCCAUUAUGUCCCGGGAGCCGAGUGCCCCCAAAUUGCUGCUCUGUUUUCUUAACUGGCUUGGCUUGGACUCAUCGUCAACAGCAGCAGCAUCAUCAUCAUCACCAUCAUCAUCAUCAUCAUCAUCAUCAUCAUCAUCAUCAUCAAUGGCUGAGCCCUCACUGUGCUUCCUGGGAGCCGGGCUCAGCUUCCCGCCUCCACGGGCACUACAGGAGGGAACAAAGUCACCUGUCAGGAUCAUGUGGAAAGAGGCCAAGGGUGGAUUUAACCCAGGCACCACAUGAUUGGAGAGGGAGCAUCUGCAAAGAUGGAGCCCUGCAGUGCCUGCGUUAGAAAAGCAUUCUAAGGCUGAGGUGGGCGAAUCACCUGAGGUCAGGAGUUCAAGAUCAGCCUGACCAACGUGGCAAAACCCUGUCUCUACUAAAAAUACAAAAAUUAGCUGGACAUGGUGGUGGCUGCCUGCAAUCCCAACUACUCGGAGGCUGAGGCAGGAGAAUCACUUGAAACCGGGAGACAGAGGUUGCAGGGAGCCGAGACUCGCCACUGCAUACUCCAGCCUGGGCAACAGAGUGAGACUCCAUCUCAAAAAAAAAAAAAAAAAAAA
RNAcentral lists this long non-coding RNA (759 nucleotides) under Homo sapiens (human). RNAcentral's name for it is "non-protein coding lnc-TOR2A-3:1". The record is from RNAcentral. Lineage: Eukaryota; Metazoa; Chordata; Mammalia; Primates; Hominidae.